Molecule: ribosomal RNA, 497 nt
Filed under: uncultured bacterium
Lineage: Bacteria
Description: partial 16S ribosomal RNA
Rfam family: Bacterial small subunit ribosomal RNA
Source: RNAcentral
GAUGAACGCUGGCGGCGUGCCUAAUACAUGCAAGUCGAGCGAACAGACGAGGAGCUUGCUCCUCUGACGUUAGCGGCGGACGGGUGAGUAACACGUGGAUAACCUACCUAUAAGACUGGGAUAACUUCGGGAAACCGGAGCUAAUACCGGAUAAUAUAUUGAACCGCAUGGUUCAAUAGUGAAAGACGGUUUUGCUGUCACUUAUAGAUGGAUCCGCGCCGCAUUAGCUAGUUGGGAAGGUAACGGCUUACCAAGGCAACGAUGCGUAGCCGACCUGAGAGGGUGAUCGGCCACCCUGGAACUGAGACACGGUCCAGACUCCUACGGGAGGCAGCAGUAGGGAAUCUUCCGCAAUGGGCGAAAGCUUGACGGAGCAACGCCGCGUGAGUGAUGAAGGUCUUCGGAUCGUAAAACUCUGUUAUUAGGGAAGAACAAAUGUGUAAGUAACUAUGCACGUCUUGACGGUACCUAAUCAGAAAGCCACGGCUAACUACGUG